This 432-nucleotide ribosomal RNA is filed under the name uncultured bacterium. Its description in RNAcentral is "partial 16S ribosomal RNA". It matches the Rfam family "Bacterial small subunit ribosomal RNA", at positions 29 to 507 of the family's 1533-position model. The record is from RNAcentral.
AACGAACGCUGGCGGCAUGCCUAACACAUGCAAGUCGAACGAGACCUUCGGGUCUAGUGGCGCACGGGUGCGUAACGCGUGGGAACCUGCCCUUAGGUUCGGAAUAACUCCCCGAAAGGGGUGCUAAUACCGGAUAAUGUCUUCGGACCAAAGAUUUAUCGCCUUUGGAUGGGCCCGCGUUGGAUUAGCUAGUUGGUAGGGUAAAAGCCUACCAAGGCGACGAUCCAUAGCUGGUCUGAGAGGAUGAUCAGCCACACUGGGACUGAGACACGGCCAGACUCCUACGGGAGGCAGCAGUGGGGAAUAUUGGACAAUGGGCGAAAGCCUGAUCCAGCAAUACCGCGUGAGUGAUGAAGGCCUUAGGGUUGUAAAGCUCUUUUACCCGGGAUGAUAAUGACAGUACCGGGAGAAUAAGCUCCGGCUAACUCCGUG